CAGUAGCCGCGGUAAUACGUAGGGUGCGAGCGUUAUCCGGAAUUAUUGGGCGUAAAGAGCUCGUAGGCGGUUUGUCGCGUCUGUCGUGAAAGUCCGGGGCUUAACCCCGGAUCUGCGGUGGGUACGGGCAGACUAGAGUGCAGUAGGGGAGACUGGAAUUCCUGGUGUAGCGGUGGAAUGCGCAGAUAUCAGGAGGAACACCGAUGGCGAAGGCGACUCUCUGGUCUGUAACUGACGCUGAGGAGCGAAAGCGUGGGGAGCGAACAGGAUUAGAUACCCCUGUAGUCCCUGUCUCUUAUAC
Molecule: ribosomal RNA, 301 nt
Filed under: uncultured bacterium
Lineage: Bacteria
Description: partial 16S ribosomal RNA
Rfam family: Bacterial small subunit ribosomal RNA
Source: RNAcentral